Molecule: non-coding RNA, 614 nt
Organism: Rattus norvegicus (Norway rat)
Lineage: Eukaryota; Metazoa; Chordata; Mammalia; Rodentia; Muridae
Source: RefSeq, a predicted model, not a curated record
UAUGAUGAAUGCUAAUCAUUUUCAAAAAAAAAAAAACUGCUUGCAUGAGACUGUCUGAAGUAGCUCCGGGGAACCUGCCCCCAGUUGUUUCUGAUUGGUAAAUAAAGAUGUCAGCAGCCAAUAGCUGGAGAGGACAGACGGGGGCAGGAUUUUAGGAUUUCCUGGUCUUGGGACCAGGAGAAGGAGUAGAUCCACCACGUGAGGAGAGUGUGGAGGAGAGGAGAGACCCAGGCCUGAGAGGAGUGGAGGACAGAGAGCUGUUGUUAAACAGUUUAGAACCAUGGACUGUUUCUUCAAGAAUCGCAUUGGGGAGCAUGGAGGAGGUCUUCAACUACCCACCUGCAGCCUAAAUCUCCCACAGAAGGCCUCUCUGAGCUUCCAGUCACAACCGUAGUCAAGCUAAGGACAAUCACUGCUGAGGUCUUCCUUGACUUUCUGGACCACUCCACGGCUUCCUCCUCUUACGAGCAAUUCCCUUGCUUAUACAUCUUUCAAAUGCGGUACUCAUAUUCCAAGGACUUCACCAGCACACUGUAGAAGGAUGGAGAUGCGCGACAACCAGGGUGUGUGUGUGACUGCAAAAGAAAAUUAUUAAAAGUGUAACUACAAGGACA